UACGUAGGGUGCGAGCGUUGUCCGGAAUUACUGGGCGUAAAGAGCUCGUAGGCGGUUUGUCGCGUCGGCCGUGAAAUCUCCACGCUUAACGUGGAGCGUGCGGUCGAUACGGGCAGACUUGAGUUCGGUAGGGGAGACUGGAAUUCCUGGUGUAGCGGUGAAAUGCGCAGAUAUCAGGAGGAACACCGGUGGCGAAGGCGGGACUCUGGGCCGAUACUGACGCUGAGGAGCGAAAGCGUGGGGAGC
This 246-nucleotide ribosomal RNA is filed under the name uncultured bacterium. RNAcentral's name for it is "partial 16S ribosomal RNA". It matches the Rfam family "Bacterial small subunit ribosomal RNA", at positions 524 to 769 of the family's 1533-position model. The record is from RNAcentral.